Molecule: ribosomal RNA, 330 nt
Filed under: uncultured bacterium
Lineage: Bacteria
Description: bacterial SSU rRNA
Rfam family: Bacterial small subunit ribosomal RNA
Source: RNAcentral
GAUGAACGCUAGCGGCAGGCCUAAUACAUGCAAGUCGAGGGGCAGCGCGGUAGCAAUACUGGCGGCGACCGGCGCACGGGUGCGUAACACGUAUGCAACCUACCUUCAACUGGAGGAUAGCCCGGGGAAACUCGGAUUAAUACUCCAUAACACAGGGAUCCCGCAUGGGAAUAUUGUUAAAGCUACGGCGGUUGAAGAUGGGCAUGCGUUCGAUUAGCUAGUUGGUGUAGGUAACGGCUCACCAAGGCUACGAUCGAUAGGGGGUCUGAGAGGAUGAUCCCCCACACUGGUACUGAGAUACGGACCAGACUCCUACGGGAGGCAGCAGUA